Molecule: long non-coding RNA, 535 nt
Organism: Mya arenaria
Lineage: Eukaryota; Metazoa; Mollusca; Bivalvia; Myida; Myidae
Exons: 3
Source: RefSeq, a predicted model, not a curated record
GACCAGAUACUCUUAAGGGACCAAUUUAAGGGCAAACAGACAAACGUUUUGAUGCAAAGAAAGCAUUGGAUUUGAAAGUUCCCAUGGAAAAGAAAAAUGGAGAGAUUCUAAAAGUAUGAAGAUACUCCUGUGUAUAAUGAGGAAAUCUUGUCAGUGAAUGUUUUUGCAAUUGUGGACCAGGCCAGAGUUGUACUAAACCAACUAAGACACAAUGAGAUACAGGAACGACACAAUGAGAAACAGGAAACAGGAAAGUGAUGACUGAUCGCCACCUGUUACAAAUUCAUCUAGGUACAGUUUUUAUUCCAGAUUUGAUACAACUGUAAACUGUUUUAUGCAUGCUAUGAUUAUGUUCAUCAUGUUUGUUUAAGACCGUGAUGAUGAGGACUAAUCUAUUGAUUAUCCCUUGCCAAAAGGCAAAGUGGAUACAGUAAUUGUGUAAUUGUGCACGUGUGUGUGCGUGUGCACGGAAUGUAAUCUUGAGCAUAAAUCCCCCAGGUAUUAACUUCAAACUUCAUAUACAGAUAGAUCCCUA